CCUACGGGAGGCAGCAGUCGAGAAUCAUUCACAAUGGGGGAAACCCUGAUGGUGCGACGCCGCGUGGGGGAAUGAAGGUCUUCGGAUUGUAAACCCCUGUCAGAAGGGAAGAACGGUCACUGUGCUAAUCAGCAGUGAAUUGACGGUACCUGCAAAGGAAGCACCGGCUAACUCCGUGCCAGCAGCCGCGGUAAUACGGAGGGUGCGCGCGUUAAUCGGAUUUACUGGGCGUAAAGCGCUAGUAGGCGGUAUGUCAAGUCAAGGGUGAAAUCCCCUCGCUUAACGUGGGAACUGCCUUUGAAACUGGCAAACUGGAGUGUGUGAGAGGAUAGUGGAAGUCCAGGUGGAGGAGUGAAAUCCGUAGAUAUCUGGAGGAACAUCAGUGGCGAAGGCGACUAUCUAGCACAUAACUGACGCUGAGGAGCGAAAGCGUGGGUAGCAAACAGGAUUAGAUACCCUUGUAGUC
This 466-nucleotide ribosomal RNA is filed under the name uncultured bacterium. RNAcentral's name for it is "partial 16S ribosomal RNA". It matches the Rfam family "Bacterial small subunit ribosomal RNA", at positions 338 to 795 of the family's 1533-position model. The record is from RNAcentral.